GAUAAACGCUGGCGGCGUGCCUAAUACAUGCAAGUCGAUCGAUAGAAGUCCAGCUUGCUGGACGGAAAUAGAGGCGAACGGGUGAGUAAUACGUAAGCAACCUGCCCACGAAGACCGGGAUAAUCCCUGGAAACGGGGACUAAGACCGGAUAGGUACACAGACCGCAUGGUCUGUGUAUUAAAGGAGAGAGACACUGGUGGAUGGGCUUACGGUGCAUUAGCUGGAUGGUGAGGUAACGGCCCACCAUGGCGAUGAUGCAUAGCCGGGCUGAGAGGCUGAACGGCCACAUUGGGACUGAGACACGGCCCAGACUCCUACGGGAGGCAGCAGUAGGGAAUUUUCGGCAAUGGGGGCAACCCUGACCGAGCAACGCCGCGUGAGUGAUGAAGGUCUUCGGAUUGUAAAGCUCUGUUGUAAGGGAAGAACGGCAGUCUAGAGAAUAGGUGAGUGACGGUCCUUACCAGAAAGCUACGGCUAACUACGU
Molecule: ribosomal RNA, 485 nt
Filed under: uncultured bacterium
Lineage: Bacteria
Description: bacterial SSU rRNA
Rfam family: Bacterial small subunit ribosomal RNA
Source: RNAcentral